This 408-nucleotide ribosomal RNA is filed under the name uncultured bacterium. RNAcentral's name for it is "partial 16S ribosomal RNA". It matches the Rfam family "Bacterial small subunit ribosomal RNA", at positions 28 to 526 of the family's 1533-position model. The record is from RNAcentral.
GACGAACGCUGGCGGCGUGCUUAACACAUGCAAGUCGAACGAAGUGGCGAACGGGUGAGUAAUGCGUAAUCAACCUGCCCUUCAGAGGGGGACAACAGUUGGAAAAGACUGCUAAUACCGCAAACGGAAGGUGGGGUUUGCGUCGGAUUAGAUAGCUGGAGCGGGAACGCCCCACCAAGGCGAUGAACAGUAACCGGUCUUAGAGAGUGAACGGCCAAAAUGGGAAUGAGAAACGACCACGAGUCAGAAGGGAGGCAGCAGUGGGGAAUGUUCGGCAAUGGAGGAAAGGCUGGCGGAGCAACGCCGCGUGAGUGAAGACGGCCUUCGGGUUGUAAAGCUCUGUUAAUCGGGGCGCGGUACCGGAAUAGAAAGCCACGGCUAACUACGUGCCAGCCGCCGCGGUAAUAC